UAAUACGAAGGUGGCAAGCGUUGUUCGGAUUCACUGGGCGUACAGGGAGCGUAGGCGGUUGGGUAAGCCCUCCGUGAAAUCUCCGGGCCUAACCCGGAAAGUGCAGAGGGUACUGCUCAGCUAGAGGAUGGGAGAGGAGCGCGGAAUUCCCGGUGUAGCGGUGAAAUGCGUAGAGAUCGGGAGGAAGGCCGGUGGCGAAGGCGGCGCUCUGGAACAUUUCUGACGCUGAGGCUCGAAAGCGUGGGGAGCAAACAGGAUUAGAUACCCUGGUAGUCCACGCCUUAAACUAUGGAUACUAAGUGUCGGCGGUUUACCGCCGGUGCCGCAGCUAACGCAAUAAGUAUCCCGCCUGGGAAGUACGGCCGCAAGGUUGAAACUUAAAUGAAUUGACGG
Molecule: ribosomal RNA, 393 nt
Filed under: uncultured nitrite-oxidizing bacterium
Lineage: Bacteria
Description: bacterial SSU rRNA
Rfam family: Bacterial small subunit ribosomal RNA
Source: RNAcentral